RNAcentral lists this ribosomal RNA (235 nucleotides) under uncultured bacterium. Its description in RNAcentral is "partial 16S ribosomal RNA". It matches the Rfam family "Bacterial small subunit ribosomal RNA", at positions 118 to 354 of the family's 1533-position model. The record is from RNAcentral.
UGAGCAAUCUGCCCUUCUCUUCGGAAUAAGCGUUGGAAACGACGUCUAAUGCCGAAUACGACCUCCUUUCGCAUGAUCGGAGGUGGAAAGCUCCGGCGGAGAAGGAUGAGCUCGCGGCCUAUCAGCUAGUUGGUGUGGGUAACGGCCACCAAGGCGACGACGGGUAGCCGGCCUGAGAGGGUGACCGGCCACACUGGGACUGAGACACGGCCCAGACUCCUACGGGAGCAGCAGG